This 4262-nucleotide long non-coding RNA is filed under the name Rattus norvegicus (Norway rat). RNAcentral describes it as "long non-coding RNA NONRATT032073". The record is from RNAcentral. Lineage: Eukaryota; Metazoa; Chordata; Mammalia; Rodentia; Muridae.
CCCACAGCAACUGAAUUCAUGUGUGACUGCUGGAGAUGACUCAUGAUUCAUAAGUGACCCCUGACACACUGAGCAUCUACUUAGCCUUUAAAGAUUAUUAUGUCAUUCCUCUUACUAUUUUACAGACUAGAAACAAACAUGGAUCUUUAAUAAUUCUGAUCUACUAUCCUUCACCAUGUGAUUUAAAACUAACUUUGUUCAUUGUGGAAUUUAGAUAAACCAACACACUCACUAAGAAAGGAAGAUUAUUUCAGAUCCCAAAGGUUCAUGGGGUAAUUUAUGAGAUCCUUGAGAACUUUUUUUCUUUAUUAAGUUUAAUAAGGCAACAGAAUAGCACCCACGUGUUUAAAGCAGCUACACCCUCAGCAGGCACGAGUUUUCUGAAGCUCCCUUUUCUAAGUGCUGCCUCUUUUGACUACUAAGAAAAACAAGGAAGCAAGUAAAGGUCUGUGGUGAGCUACACAUUUGAUCACUGUGUACGGAACUUGUGGCCUAUGAUCACACAAAACCCCAUUUCCUGCUUGAGGUAAUGAAAGACACACAGGCAGUUCAUGUGCACACUGCCUGUUGCUCAGACUGAGAGCUGAGCUGAGCUGAGGUGGAACAGACACACUCCUGCAGAGGGACAUGUGCCACAUUCCUCCUCAGAGCCUGCUCUGUGUGCUGGUGGCCUUGGCUUUGUCUGGUAUGAUGCAUCACGUAUAACUAAGUGUAUCUAACAGGAAGCAUUGCCCCAGGCAAAUGACGGUUCCUAUAGAUACGAGGGGCAAGAAGGAGUUGAGGGAAGCCAGAGAAAUUUGUAUUCAGUUGCCUUUCUCUUUGGGUCCUAAGGGGCCCAAUUCCAACAAUGUUUGGUUCACACUUCCACAGGAUAAGCUUUUAAUUCGUUCUUCUGGUUGUUUUGCAGGAUGUAAUAUGGCCCAGAAAGUGACUCAAGCUCACUCAUCAGCAAGCAGGCAGGAGGGGGAAGAAGUCACCCUGGAGUGUUCAUAUGAGACAAAACCAGAGGAGCGGCCGCUAUUCUGUAAUCUUCCAGCAAUCACUCAAGUCCAUCAGCCUUGUCAUUUCAGCCUCUCAGCCAGAGGAUUCGGGGAAGUAUUUCUGUGCUCUCUGGGAAACUGACACAGUGUUUGAAGUGAUAGCACAAGCUGAACAAAAACUGGGGCUCCUUAAGCAGAGGCUCCCUGAGAGAGGGAGCCCAGCUGAGAUGCACACCUGCACAUCCUGAACAAGAAGAUCUCAACUGUGGAUGCCCCGUCUGUGGUCUGCAUGAGAACUGUGUUUCUAAGUAAAACCUCAGGGCAUGCAAUUUAGAAAUAAUUAUCGUGAGCGGCUUUGUAUACUACACUGACUUAAAACAGAGUUAAAAAUAGACUGCUGAGAAUAUGUGUAAUAUUUUCUUCACUUGGGAAUCUUGCACCACAAUAAUUUGAAGUUUCUCUUUAAUUUGUUAACAGAACAUACCUCAGAGGAGGCAUCUGGAAUAGCAAAGAGCAUAAUUUCCUGGAGAAAGCUACACUCAGAAGGAGAUCCAGCAUGAAUGUGGUAGUCAGAGACAGACUAUAAGGAUUUCUCUCCAUGAAAUACUGGUGGUGACUCCACCAAUCUUUACCUUUGUAUCUAAUGCUGAGCCUGAGGUACUGAAGUUCAGCUUAACCAGCAGUUGGGGAGGACAGGUACAUGAGCAUAGCACCUGGCUGUCCUGAGAUUUGUAAGAAUUCAGUGAGACCCAGAAAGCCAAUGGAAUCUAGAAGGAUAAACCUCCCUCACCUCCUCAGUCCCUCUGGUUUGGGGGAGCAUCAGAAAUCACGCCAUUUGCCAAUGUGAUGCACACAGAAUCGACCUGAAUAAAGAAAAGCUGUAGAAGUGAGGAGUAGAGAGUUAAUGGUAAAGUGAGCUGGAAUCUAAUGGACAUCAAAUAUUUAUGGGGCCUGAAUCUGCAGGGCUAUAUAAAAAUAAUUAAAUACAUCACACCUGUUUCUUAAGUCUUCUACAGCUGCCUUUUCCAUGUCCACCCCCAAAACACAGCAACAUGGAGAAGGAAAUUCUGAGAAAUGUGUUUCCAGAUAUGUUUUUAAAGAUUAUUUUUAUAUCAUGUGUGUAACCUUUUUGUCAGCAUGUAUAUGUGUGUACUGGGUGAAGUCUGGUGCUCAUGGAGGCCAGAAAGGGAUAUUAGAUUCUGGAAAUUGGCGUUAUUAGAGGAAAGGAUUUACCACGUGGAGGUCAGGCACUGAAUCUAAGUCCUCUGCAAAAGCAGUGACUGCUUUUAAUUAGGGAGUGUAUGAUCCAGGUCCUGUUUCUAGGUAAUUUGCAUAAACUGUACAUGAUAAAGAAGGUAAAUAACUUCAAUUCACCAAUUAAAAACCAUAGGCUACCUGGGGGCAUUGACAAAGAAUACUAUCUGUGUCUCCAGGAAACACUUCCCGUAGCUAAGGACAUCAAACACUGAAAGUCCAACCAUAGAGAUCAGCAUCGGAAGUAAUUGACAGCUGUAAACAUGGCACUGCACGUCUCAUAUUUGACAAAGGAGACUUCAGGCCACAGCUAGUCAGAGAGCUGAGGAGAGCCACUGCAUAGCCACAGAGGGUAAGUCUUGUGCAUGUGAGUACACGGAGCAUGGCUCCCGGUUCAACAAAAUAAACUCUAAUUGACAGAAAAUGUCACAUGGGUCCCUAAUCACUAAUGAUCUUAGACUUCAAUGUUUCACUGUGACUUUAGCAAGUCUUCCUAAAUUAAAAACCAACAAGGAAACUUCAGAGCAGAAGGAUUCUGCAAGUCCACCUCUCUGAGUUUGGCAGGAGAAUCCCAGGCAGGGAAGGGAAGCCAAUGUGCACUCAGAGAACUCACUGAAUGCAAGCGACAGAAUCUUAGCAGACGCAAAAUUUAUAUUCUUUACUGUAAGAAGCAAAAGCCUGAGAAGUCAACAAGGACACAAAUUUAAAGAACGUUUUAAUGAAUAAAUAAGUGUAAUAUCCUAUGAAUUUGUUAGUAGUUGUCCUUUUUAACGGUUCCUCAGGAGUGGUAUAGCUGGGUCCUCAGGUGGUAGUAUUCCAAAUUUUCUGAGGAACGUCCAGAUUGAUUUCCAGAGUGGUUGUACCAGCUUGAAAUCCCACCAGAAAUGGAGAAGUGUUCCUCUUUCUCUACAUCCUCGCCAGCAUCUGUUGUCACCUGAGACUUUUAUCUUAGCCAUUUUGACUGGGGUGAGGGAGAAUCUCAGGGUUGUUUUGAUUUGCAUUUCCCUGAUGACUAAGAAUGUUGAACAUUUCUUUGGGUGCCUCUCAGUGAUUCAAUAUCCCAGGAAAUUGGACACAGUACUACCUAAGGACUCAGCUAUACCAUUCCUGGGCAUAUUCCCAAAAGAUGCUCCAACAUAUAACAAGUACAGAUGUUUCACUAUGUUCAUAACAGCCUUACGUUUAAUAGCCAGAAGCUGGAAGCAACCCAGAUGCCCCUCAACAGAGGAAUGGAUACAGACAAUGUGGUACAUCUACACAAUGGAGUAUUACUCAGCUAUUAAAAACAAUGACCAUGAAAUUCAUAUGCAAAUGGAUGGAACUAGAAAAUAUCCUGAGUGAGGUAACCCAAUCACACACAAAAAAAGAAACACACACACACACACACACACACACACACACACACACACACACGGUAUACACUUACUGGUAAGUAGAUAUUAGCCCAAAAGUUUGAAUUACCCAAAAUGCAAUGCACAGAACACAUGAAGUUCAAGAAGAAGGAUGACCAAAGUGCGGAUACAUCCAUCCUUAGGGGGAACAAACAUAUUCACAGGAAGAGAUACGGAGGCAAAGUUUGGAGCAAAGGCUGAAGGAAAGGCCAUCCAGAGACUGUCCCACCUGGGGAUCCAGUCCAUGUCCAUACAGCCACCAAACCCACACAAUAUUGCUGAUGCCAAGAAGUGCAUGCUGACAGUAGCCUGAUAUAGCUGUCCCCUGAGAGUCUCUGUGAGAGCAUGACAAAUACAGAGGCGAAUGCUCACAGUCAAUCAUUGAACUGAGAAUGGGGUCCCCAUUAGAGGAGUUAGAAAAAAGGAUUGAAGGAGCUGAAGGGGCUUGCAACCCCAGAACAACAAUACCAACCAACCAGAGCCCCCAGGGACUAAAUCACCAUCCAAAGAGUACACAUGGACAGACCCAUGUCUCCUCUGCAAAUUCAGAGGAUGGCCUUGUUGGGCACCAAAGGUAGGAGCCCUUGGUCCUGCCAAGGUUAGACCCCCCAGUGUAGGGGAAUAUCAGAACAGGGAG